GCCUGGGUGGCUCAGUCGGUUGAGCGUCUGACUUCAGCUCAGGUCACGAUCUCACAGUUCGUGAGUUCGAGCCCUGCAUCAGGCU
Molecule: transfer RNA, 85 nt
Filed under: Felis catus (domestic cat)
Lineage: Eukaryota; Metazoa; Chordata; Mammalia; Carnivora; Felidae
Rfam family: tRNA
About the family: Transfer RNA (tRNA) molecules are approximately 80 nucleotides in length. Their secondary structure includes four short double-helical elements and three loops (D, anti-codon, and T loops).
Source: Rfam by way of RNAcentral